GAUAGAUAGAUAGAUAGAUAGAUAGAUAGAUAGAUAGAUAGAUAGAUAUGGAAUUACUGUAUUUAUAGUAAUAGGCGCGCACACUUAUUUUUGGCGGCUGGCUUGACCGUGUAUUUUCAAACCGCGGCUGGCUUGACCGCAGUAAACAACUGGGGACGUCUCGACAGCUGGACAGUGCUAAGCAAAGUAAGUUAUUUGUUAUUUUUUAGUGUAGCAAAACGCUAGCUAUCUGAGGCCAUGUGAAUAAAAAUCAUUAAUGCUAAUAAUGAUUUUUUAAGCGGCUUAUAACUUUCUGUUUUGAAACGUAACUCUGUCCAUUUCAGCAGAACAACCAUGCCCAUCAUACAAACAGUUCAUGGAGUACAGAAGCUCGAAGUCAAAAGAACGGCAGUCUUUUAACUAUGGGCCAAAAGGAAGAUUUAUAAGCCUAAAGAAAGAAAACACGUCCAGCAACUGGCUCUUCGUCCUCUUGCUCAACAUUUGGUGAAUACAGAUUUUUUUUUCAGGUGGAUCCAGAUCCUCAGUGUGGCGUUACGAAUUAAUUAUGCAGACUACGCCACCCGGAGGCUAUUCCCGGGACUGCCCUCAACCUUAGAACACACAGGUUCGUCACAACUGGGUCAGGUAUCAGACCAGAGUUGAGUUUAAAACAAAACUUUAUUCAAAACAUUCAAUUUUUGUUCACUGUGUCAAAUAGUUAAAAGCAAAAGUAACAAGACAUCACACUUCAGGGUGGGGGAAGGCCUGGCGUCCUUUAAGCAGAGAUAACACAGCACUCACGCGUGCACUCACGCACCACAGCAAACCACAGCACGGCACACCUCACUGUGAACACUGCAAUCAGAAGGGCCCACCACCACAAGAUGCUACACUGCUGCCGCCGGCCACCCCACUCCUGAAGAAAAAAAAAAAAAAAAGACAAACACAAUUUAAAACACAUAAAUUGGAACAAGCAUCACAUACAGCAACCUGGUCCUCAACACAGUCAACUAUCCAAAAAAAAAAACUGCUGAUUACUUAGGAUGCCUCAGCUACUGGAUUACCAACCAGCUGAAAUAGGCAAAACGUCAAUAAAAAUAAUCACAAAGACACAUAUACAAAAGUAGAUACACCGCACAGGUCACAAAAGAAAAUAAAGAAAAAUAAUUCAACUGAAUCGAUCAAAAGACAUCAGACUACAAACUCAAACCAAUGACAAACAAAAAAAAACAAAAAAACAAAAAAUAUAUAGAAAACAAAAAAAAAGGACAACAACAACAACAAGCAAAAAAAAAAAAAAAAAAAGGAAACAAAACAAUACAAAAUAAACAAUUAAAUCAAACACAAUAACCCCAACAAAGAAAGAAAAGAAAACAACGCUAGUGACUCUCAGGUAGUAGCUACCCUGUCGCACGCCACUUUUAGAUCAGUUACUCACGGUACUGCUACAUCAGCAUCAGAUAUUACUAUCUGAAAUAAAGAUUAAAAUGUCUGAAACAACAACACUGAAAGCAAGAAAUGUCAUGGUACCAGUCUGCCUUAUUACCUGUCCUGGCUGAAUUGUUGAUGAAUGUCCUGGUGCAUCUCUGAAACAUGAUACAAUAUAAAAAUUAUUAGCUCCAUGAUAAAGGCCAUAAUGUAGUUUUGAGUAAAAGGUAGUAGUAGAGGGAACAGAAAGAUUUAUUUAAAAAUAUAUAUAUUAUUUUCUUAUAAAUCACAUUACACAUAUGGUAUUUUCUGUUUCAAGUUCAUCAGAGUUCAUCAAUUCUUCACUGAAUUGUUUCAGUAGAUCAGGUGCUGCUACCUCCAGGUCUGUAAAUAACGGGAGUGUUUUCCCUCUUAGAGGUUUUAUAUCGUUUCCAUCAGUUUCAUGUGGCCUCAUCAAUCCUACAUUUAUCUAGUAAAAUAACAAAGAUAUAUAAUUAAUGUAUACAUAGGUAAAAUAAAUAUACACACACAAAUACAUAUAGAGCAUUGCAAAAUUGUAUAGGACAGUCAGUACAACUUACCUGGACGUGUUUUCUUUCUUUAGGCUUAUAAAUCUUCCUUUUGGCCCAUAGUUAAAAGACUGCUGUUCUUUUGACUUUGAGCUUCUGUACUGAAGUUUUUUUUUUUUUAUUCAGCAAAUAUAUUUGUUUAACAGGGAAGAUGUGCGUAAACAGGAAUAUAUAUUCAUUUAUUAAAAAAAUAAAAAAACACCACAGAAAAAAGGGCACAUUCUCUCAAGGAGGAAAAAGGGCAGGGGCUCAAGCCCCCUUUUAUGUCUAUGUGUGCACAUACCUGAUUAUAGGAACAUUCUGUGUUUACUGAGUAACUCGCAAUUGAGUUUAUUUCACAGUUCUGAAGGAAAUAAUGUCAGAACUGCGGGAUAUACAUUACCGGGUAAAAGUUUUUGAACGGUAAGAUUUUUUAAUGUUUUUAAAAGAAGUCUAUUCUGCUCACCAAGGCUUCAUUUAUUUGAUCAAAAUACAGCAAAGUCAAGUCACCUUUAUUUAUAUAGCACUUUUUACAAUGCAGAUUGUGUCAAAGCAGUUUUACAGUGAAAAUAAUUUGGCUACACAGCAGCUCUAGAAGAAAAUUGUGUCAUUGUCCAGCUUAAAGGGGGGUAUAAUGCUAUUUCAUGUAUUCUGACUUAUUUACACUGUUAAAAAGUUGGAUUCUCAUGCUAAAUAUGGCCAAAGUUUCAAAACAUGAUUUGGACGUAUGAUGGAGUAUUUCUGUGACAAAAAUACUCUUUUAUAUCCUCAUAAACUUUGCAGUCUUUUUUUUUCGAGUAUGGGACUGUGUG
Molecule: long non-coding RNA, 2767 nt
Organism: Megalobrama amblycephala (Wuchang bream)
Lineage: Eukaryota; Metazoa; Chordata; Actinopteri; Cypriniformes; Xenocyprididae
Exons: 3
Source: RefSeq, a predicted model, not a curated record